Saimiri boliviensis boliviensis (Bolivian squirrel monkey) is the source of this 1349-nucleotide long non-coding RNA. RefSeq lists it as uncharacterized. Lineage: Eukaryota; Metazoa; Chordata; Mammalia; Primates; Cebidae. The record is from RefSeq and is a predicted model, not a curated record.
UUGCAGAUAGCCUAUAAACAAACAUGUAAUGGAGAGGCUUAUUACCCAGAUUCCUUUCCCAGGAAAGGCAUGUUAAUUAUAGCCCUGGAAAGGGAAUGCAACCCUUAUUGAGAGCAUAUAAACGGAUGCAAGAGGGGCGUCUGUCCUGAGGAAAAACCUCUGUGGUGGAGAUAAGGAUGACUAAAUAGAAAAGAGGCCAUGCUGUUGGUUUCACAGCAGUCACCACGAAGAACAGCUGUUCCUAGCAGAGAUGAUUGCCCAGGGUUUAGCACCACCAGAAGCAGGAACAUGCUACCAUCGCAAAACUGGAGCAGAAGACCCUGAGAGGCUUGCUCAUCAGCAGAUGAAAUAAUGGGUCCAAAAAGAAGAGAAGUUGACUGAUUUCCUCAUGUCUCACUGGCAAUAGAUGGUAGAAGCGGAGCAAGAAGGUUCUCCAGUAUCUGCUGCUUCCCCCUGAAUUUGUUCACAAUGUACAGCUCAGUGACGCCUGAGAAAACAUCUUUGUUGUCCUGAGCCUGGCCAGACAUAGACAUUUGACUCCAUGGUUACUUGGAGAGGUAGUACAUCCUCUUAGGGUAAAUGGGCUCACCCUGGAAAGCACCACGGACCACCCACGAUCAUGACAGCAUUCCCAGGGUCAGAAGCAACAUAUGGAGAAACCCCUUAUCCUGAAUGCAUCUAAGUCCUGCCCAGAUUUAGGGGAGCUGGAGCAGGAAGUUUAGGGUCUGGUAUUGGGAUCCCAAGGUUGGAGUUCUAGCCCCUCUGCUGAUUGGCUGUAGGACCUGGGAGACCUGCCACUUCCCUUCUCAGUUUCUUUUUGUGAGACAGGGGAGGCAAACAUCUGACCUCACAGAAGCACUGAAAGUUAUCAUCUGAAAUAAUGGCCAUAAGAUUGUUACUGCCACCUCAGUUCUCUUCUUCUCCAUUGCUUCUGUGGACUCUCGUAGCAAAUCCCUUCUAUUUGUCUUGAGAAUAAAAUACCCAGGGCCAGUAUUGCUUCUCUUAGCCAGCCAAUUAGUCAAAAAAAUACUUUCUGAUGUCCCAGAAAGAACCUUAUCUGUGCUGGGCAAUGUCUAGGAUAUGGAGAGGAAUUCAACCACACAGCUGUUGCCUUUAAAGAGAUCACAGAGAAGCUGUCAUUCUGGGGAACAGGAGGUAGCAGUAAAUACUGUAACAAAGGGAUAAAGGAUAUAGGAGUACAAAGGAGUGAUCAACUGACCAAGCUGUGGCAUUAAUUAAAGACUUCAGAUAUGAAACGUUUAAGUGAGUCCUAAAAAAUUGAGCAUGUUUUCACCCAGGUAAUGCAGUGAGAGGAAGCGCCUUCCAGGCAGGAGAAACAAGUAUAAAAA